AGACCUAUGAAGGUCGAAGGGGAAGAAAAGCUGUAUCGAUUGUUGAGAUCUGGCGACUUGUUUAAAUUUCAUCAGCCUCACUUCUAUGAACUCUCAGAGCUGAUUACCAACUCCUACCACUGUUAACCCUCAUCCAGGAACAAGCUUAUGUCUUUAACAUUCUGAGUGGGCUUCAGCAUCCUUGCAUAUGUUCAAUUCUUAAAAACCUGUUGAAAUAAAAGAUCAGGAGACAUAGGAAGGAUGCCAGAAGAGAGCGUGGCCUCACGUGUACCAGCUCUCUGCUCUCCUUUGCCUUGGGACGUUCCAUCCCUGGAAGUUUCCCUGCCCACAUCUUUGUAGAGAGUCCAUUCUCCAAGCUUCAGUGUGUCAUCUGUGAGGACCGUGACCCACCUGGUACAUCGCCUCAGGGCAUUCAUUUCAGGCUCCUUCUAAAUGGCCAAGUUUUCAAGAUUGUUUUGGCUCUAGCAAAACAAGUUGGAACAUUCACAUCAUCCAAGCUGCAGCAAGCUGUUCGUCAGAGUCAUCUUUGGUGACUAUCUGCCUACAGGCAUUCCUUUGCACUCUGGGUGUAGCCCUCAGUGCUGGGCUUACAAAGAAGACGACACAAAAGCAACCAUGAAAAGAUCUUGGAAGCAGAGGGAUCUGCAGAAGUGCUUGCAACACUUUCAGCCUUAACCAGCAUCAGAGACAAAAAUCCUUUCUGGAAUGAGUCUUCUGCCAGCCUAACAAGCAUAGCAAGAAGAUAUAGCCCCACAACCACUUUAUGCACAAAGUUAGAAGCAUAAAAUCUCAUGGAAGGAGACCGAUUAUCUACAGAAGAGGUUGUCUUGCCAUUUCUCUCAUGUUAGAGGUAAACCUCAGGUUCUCCUCCUGCCUUUUGCUAAGUAUAUGUCUUGAUGACAAGCCUUCUGCUGAUGAGCUGUGUUUCUGGACCGAUCAUGGUAGAAGUCAAUUAACGUGUCCCUCACUUGGGGUUUCUCAAGGCUGCACUGAUGAGGAAACUGAAACAGAAAAUCCAGAGUAAAUUCCACCAGGCCACACAGCAAGGUCUGAUAGAGCCAGGAGAGACUUUAUGAAAUCCAGACUCUCACACUAAUGCUCUAUCAGCUAGACCUCCAUGUGAGUCUCCCCAAUGUAGGUAGGAAGUGCUUUCCCUAAAAUGCUCAUAAAGCAAAUCAGAGCAAUGCUGCAUUCCAUGUGAUUUCUAAUUUGAAAUGCAAACAAUUGCCAAUUUGUUUGACUUGUAUUUAUAAUUAUUUCCUUGUGAAUUACUCAUCACUAAAUGCUUUAUAAAUAUUUUCUCUUUUUUUCCUCAAUGUCUAUGGAAUGAUCACAGCAUAGAAAAUGUUGGCUUUCAAGGAUUUAUUAAUAUCUCCUUUUGAAAUAACAUGUAUUUGUAAGACAGAAUAAAAUCACUUUAAAGAAACAAA
This 1430-nucleotide long non-coding RNA is filed under the name Homo sapiens (human). RNAcentral's name for it is "testis expressed 41". Lineage: Eukaryota; Metazoa; Chordata; Mammalia; Primates; Hominidae. The record is from RNAcentral.